GAGAGUAAAUUUUUUUUUACUGUCUUAAAUUUGCUUUAAGCAGGGAAACAAUCACCAUUUAACAUUACCUUUUGUUCAACUUUGCAUUGUUGCAAAGACAGCUGAAAUCCAACUAGACUAUCCAGAAGAAAUGGUUCCCAGACUGCCUGAAUGACAUAUCUCUAUGCUUUUUUGAAGCCCUUAAUUAACAGGAGCUGCUGUGGGUACAGCAUGCUGUGGUGCUGCUCGCUCUUACGGCCGACCUCAUCGCCUCUCGAGCUUUAGGAUGAAGACGCAUAAACUGAGAGAAGGCAGAUGCAGCGUGAUUCCAAACAAAGUCAGGGGGAAGGAUGCAAACAGCACAAGAUGGAUCCAACUUCACUCCACAUUGCACCAAAUGAAGCAUGAAGGCAUUUCCUCAAGCACCUGCCUUUGACAUCUAAACUAAAAGUCUGCAACACUCAAGAGAAGACAACAUCUAUCUUCACGGGACUGAUGGUAACCAAAACCAAUUUCUUUCAAGUAGGCAAAAUUCCGCUUCAACAUACAGUAAAAGCAAGUAAGAACCACAACCCACCUAGGCUGGAGCCCAUCCCAGAUGACUACGGGCGAGAGGCGGGGUACGCCCUUGGACUGGUCGUCGGUCAGUCGCAGAGCUGACACGCAACGAAAGACAACGACAAACGCUCACACCUGGGGGCAAUGUAGAGCAGCCAAUUAACCUAAUGUGCAUGUUUUUGGGACUGCGGGAGGAAGUCGGAGUACCUGAAGAAAACCCACGCAGGCACCAGGAGGGCAUACAAACUCCACACAGAAGGGCCCAGACUGGGACCCUGAAAUCAGAGAUUUGUUUUCCUAGAAGGCUACAAAUGACCAAUCAGUUACCAAAAUAGCUCUAAAUAAUACAUGAGAGGACCAAAUGGGGCUGGUUUUACCUUUGACACACAUGGGAGACCAUCAAGGAACUAUAAGACCACAUUUGUGCUGUGCUUCCUCUAAGAACAACAAUAUGUGUAAAUGCGGUGACUCCGGUUCUCCUUUCUACUGUGAACAGGGAACUCUAAUGCAGCAUCUGUUGCAAUGACAUCUGUUUGACAUGGUUCUGCUUGGUGUUCUGUCCAGUCCGUCAUUAGGUGGUAUUAAAGCGGAGAUUACUAUUAAGUGGAGAUUAAAAUUAAGUGGGAAAAGAGAUGUAAACUUUGUCUGCCAUCAGCCCGUGGCUUCCGCAGUUCAACCUCAGCUUAGUCUCACAGGUGGACUUUAUGUGCGGAUUUAUACCAUUUGAAUUAUGAAAUUAAGAUCGAUUUAAGCAAAAAAUGAAAAAGCCCGACAGGAAGUCAACUCUUGGAGGUGUAUGAUGUGUAUGUGUAUGGCUAAACUUGGAACAACGAACUGUACUUUUAAAACUUUCGUAGCCUAAAACUAGCCGUGCGGCGAGGGAAUGUAGGGAAGCGAGCCGGCAGAGUGGAUACAGUACAAGUACACUGGGUCUCAGUGCUCCUACAUGUCACUGUGAUUACAUUUUGUUCUCACUGAGCCUGGACGGGAGCGACAGCCACUGAGAUUUCCAAUUUGAAAAGCAAGCUUAUAGGCUUGCGUAACAUCCUGUGCUUUUUUACCUCAUCAGAGAUGGCAGCAAGAGAAGACCUCUAACGGUACAACUGGUAUCCAAGCGGUACAGUGUGUUCUCAGUCAUAAUCACAUUAAUAAGCCAGUGAUAGCAUGUUUUUUUAAUUCACAUGACAGCAAGGUGACAUGACAUGCAUAUCGAAGGGUGGGAAACUAUCAACUAUUUUGAUGUUGGUUAUCAUUGACCAAAAUGCAGUGCUGUGACAGGUAAUGCAGGUGUUCCCUGCAGCUGGUUUGUCAUGGCGACAGAGCCAGCCAAUCUAGACAGCCAGGCUCCUUAUUCCUGCGUUUCCCCGCACUCAUCAGCAUUCUCAUCAUUUCAUCAAAUAGACAGACUGCUCCUUUAUGGUCCACUCUAAGUCCAAUUAAUAUGAUCAAAGGCUACAGUUUAAUUCUUUUGAAAUUGGAUAAACUCUGAGUGUGGGUCUCCACCUGUGUCUUCAUUAAUUAUUAUUUCAAUUUGGAGUUGAGGCUCACAUAAAAUGUAAUCAGAUGAGUUUAAUUCAUUUUUAGGACAUGUAUUUAUUUAUGAUAAAUUCCAAAUUAGUUUUAAUUUUUUUUUUGCAAGAUCCAAAAAGAAAAAAUUCUUGAGCAAAAUGUUCUUUCAGAUUUCAGUCCUCAAGUUUGUCCCAACAGAGUCAGCUUGAUUAUGUUUUUCAUUUUGUUUCACGUUAUUGUGAAAUAACUGCACACAAAAUUAAAAAUAAAUAAAAAUAACCCUGCAUGUGAAUUGCUGUUUUUGGAUCAGUUCAGUGAACAAAGAACAAGCUCAAAAGUGUAACGGCUGUCGGCCCACAAAGCCGUCUGGUUCCUCAAUAAAAGCCACAAAUAAGCAACACAUACAAACCAAUGGUGGAAAAGCUCUCAAAAAAAAAAGACAAAUCUGUUAUUACCAUCAAUACCAGGGGAUGUUCUGCUCCAUAUUAUAUGGUUCCAGUGUGAUACAUUCACACCU
Long non-coding RNA from Scatophagus argus, 2563 nucleotides. RefSeq lists it as uncharacterized. Lineage: Eukaryota; Metazoa; Chordata; Actinopteri; Scatophagidae. The record is from RefSeq and is a predicted model, not a curated record. The transcript has 3 exons.